Non-coding RNA from Thiocapsa sp. KS1, 86 nucleotides. The record is from Rfam. Lineage: Bacteria; Pseudomonadati; Pseudomonadota; Gammaproteobacteria; Chromatiales; Chromatiaceae.
GUUGCCGAGGAGCGUUGCGACCCUGGCCAUCGGAGCCCGGGCCAGGCUCGGCGGCGGGGUCGACACGACAACGGCGCUCACUCACG